GGUGCCUAUAAAUGGGGGCCUAGGAAAAACCUAGCUUAGGAUGAAGAGAGAAAAAUAUGCUUAAAUGUUUAAUUUACAAUAAAUUGUAGAUGACAGUUAUCUCUCUUCAUAUCAGCACAUGCAUACACUACACACACACUCAGCAACUCAAUAAAGGUAGACUUUGUCUUUCCUUGUUUCUCUUUUCUUGACAUAAAAUUGUCUUUGAAAAAGAAAGGGAAUGAGUGUGAGGAAGUACAUGUAGGCUUCAAAAGAUAAAAUGAUUCCUCAUUUUAAACUUUAGGGCAAAAUCAUCAAAGAAAA
Molecule: long non-coding RNA, 303 nt
Filed under: Bos taurus (domestic cattle)
Lineage: Eukaryota; Metazoa; Chordata; Mammalia; Artiodactyla; Bovidae
Description: long non-coding RNA NONBTAT020582
Source: RNAcentral